This is a long non-coding RNA of Felis catus (domestic cat), 1120 nucleotides long. RefSeq lists it as uncharacterized. The transcript has 2 exons. The record is from RefSeq and is a predicted model, not a curated record. NCBI's taxonomy places the organism in Eukaryota, Metazoa, Chordata, Mammalia, Carnivora, Felidae.
GGAGGGCCCCCUGCACGCAGGCCGCCGGGCCUGGUCACAUGUGGCCCAGGAGGCCCCGGCUGGCUGCGCCGACCCUGUGACACCCCUACUUCCAGGUUUAGGGGACACUGCAUUCCCUGUUGGCUUCGGCCACAAGCUCUCAGUUCCCUUUUCUGAAAAAGACAAGGGCUUUGGAAAGAGGAAGAGGAGAGGCCGGCAUCGUGGGGUGUAGGGAAAGCAGGGGGGCAGGGGAGCCGAAGGGGACACCACUCCCUUGACUGGCUCUCCCGGGACCCAGCCUGAGUCCUGCCUGGCAUCCACAAUUGGUGUGAAAGCCUCCUCGGAGCCAGCUGCCCCUGGGUGAACUUCGGACUGCCAUCUCAGCCAUCGGCCACCUCCUCACCCGGAACUCACUGCCAGGCCUCAGCACUGAGCCUGGCCAGCCAGGGCCCCCUGUCCCCACGCUCAGCCUAGCCUGGACAGGUGGGGUGGGAGGGCACGGGAGGGGCACAUGUGCUGCCCUGGGAGUCCUCAUGCAGCCCGGACGCCCAAGUUCAACGCUGGGUACAGAUUCUGAGGCUGAGGCCCCUCCACAAACCACAACAGCGCUGAGAAGAGGGCCCCAGGACCCUCUAAACCCCCAGAUACGUAUCCAACAAUAGAAACCACGCCAAAGCUUGAUAUGAUUUUUUUAUUAACAUAUAAUAUAUUUAAUAAAAAAUAAUAUCCACUCUGGCUCUCUCCUGCAUUGCAAGGGGAAGAGUGGGGAGGGGCUGGCACCGCCCACCCCCCCAGGCGCAGGGCAAGCCCCGCCUCCCCUCCGGGGCUCCCCUCCAUCCCUGCCUUCCAACAAGGCUCUGACCUCCAGACAGAGGAUUCAAAGUUACAAGUGCUUUAGGCCCUCCCUCCAGCUCCCCCAGGCCCGCCCCUUGUGCAGAGUUCAGGGGCCACCUGGACAAGACCCCUUGCUUUUUUUCUCAUUCUUGGGAUCCCUCGUUCAUGGUAGAAAGAGGAUCUAGGGGGCAGAGUGGAGUCUCUACUGGCCAGGGGGAAGGAAGGAAAGGACCAGUGACGGGGCAGGGCCAAGAAGACGGACGCUGAUGAGGCCCCUCACUGCAGCCGGUCACUGCGGAAAGAGUCC